GCGUGAGAAUCUGGCUCUAGGUCUGGGACAACCACUGGAAACGGUGGCUAAUACCGGAUGUGCCGAGAGGUGAAAGAUUAAUUGCCUAGAGAUGAGCUCGCGUCUGAUUAGCUAGUUGGAAGUGUAAUGGACUCCCAAGGCGACGAUCAGUAGCUGGUCUGAGAGGACGAUCAGCCACACUGGGACUGAGACACGGCCCAGACUCCUACGGGAGGCAGCAGUGGGGAAUUUUCCGCAAUGGGCGAAAGCCUGACGGAGCAAUACCGCGUGAGGGAGGAAGGCUCUUGGGUCGUAAACCUCUUUUCUCAGGGAAGAAAAAAAUGACGGUACCUGAGGAAUAAGCAUCGGCUAACUCCGUGCCAGCAGCCGCGGUAAUACGGAGGAUGCAAGCGUUAUCCGGAAUGAUUGGGCGUAAAGCGUCCGCAGGUGGCAAUGUAAGUCUGCUGUUAAAGAGUGAGGCUCAACCUCAUAAGAGCAGUGGAAACUACAUAGCUAGAGUACGUUCGGGGCAGAGGGAAUUCCUGGUGUAGCGGUGAAAUGCGUAGAGAUCAGGAAGAACACCGGUGGCGAAGGCGCUCUGCUAGGCCGUAACUGACACUGAGGGACGAAAGCUAGGGGAGCGAA
RNAcentral lists this ribosomal RNA (624 nucleotides) under Nostoc commune BACA0023. RNAcentral describes it as "bacterial SSU rRNA". It matches the Rfam family "Bacterial small subunit ribosomal RNA", at positions 115 to 772 of the family's 1533-position model. The record is from RNAcentral. Lineage: Bacteria; Bacillati; Cyanobacteriota; Cyanophyceae; Nostocales; Nostocaceae.